UACGUAGGGUGCGAGCGUUGUCCGGAAUUAUUGGGCGUAAAGAGCGUGUAGGCGGUCCGGUAAGUCCGCUGUGAAAGUCGGGGGCUCAACCCUCGAAUGCCGGUGGAUACUGUCGGGCUAGAGUGCGGAAGAGGCGAGUGGAAUUCCUGGUGUAGCGGUGAAAUGCGCAGAUAUCAGGGAAGAACACCUAGUCGAAAGGCG
Molecule: ribosomal RNA, 201 nt
Filed under: uncultured bacterium
Lineage: Bacteria
Description: partial 16S ribosomal RNA
Rfam family: Bacterial small subunit ribosomal RNA
Source: RNAcentral